GUAACGGUUUUUUUAAAAACCGUAAUUUAUUCAAAAAAAAGUAAUG
Spinacia oleracea (spinach) is the source of this 46-nucleotide non-coding RNA. NCBI's taxonomy places the organism in Eukaryota, Viridiplantae, Streptophyta, Magnoliopsida, Caryophyllales, Amaranthaceae. The record is from Rfam.